RNAcentral lists this long non-coding RNA (1927 nucleotides) under Homo sapiens (human). Its description in RNAcentral is "HSALNT0376257". Lineage: Eukaryota; Metazoa; Chordata; Mammalia; Primates; Hominidae. The record is from RNAcentral.
GCAGCAGUCAGGGGCUUGCUACUCUUCGCAGCCCUGUUUCUUUUCUUGUGAUGAGAAGAAACAAGCCCAGGCUGACAGCUGGCCAAGACUUGAACUAGAAUGUUGAAGUUGAAAAGUCAAAAUGGGUCUGUGUCAAAGGACUAGCAGAGGGGAAGGGACUGUCCUCCGGGGAGCUGAGGAGUGAGGAUGGUCCUCACCUCGAUCCAGCGAUCAAAUUCCCCAAGUAAAUCCAUGUAAAACAUGAACUGUGGCCAGCACUUGUUAAGCAAGGAAUAUUAAAAAUCAUUGUCAUUACUGCUGCUAUUAUUGUUACAGGCUUGUUCCAAGACUCUGGGUUUUGGCUCAGCUUGUCUAAAUGGUCUUCCAUCUUAAGGAAUCAAGGGGUAGAUUUUGGAACCACUAGCUCCAUAGCCAAAGAAGGAGCAAUCCAGCAACUUAGGCAUUGAUUCCGCAAGCCGUCCCAGAGCCUCUGUGUAGUCCUUACUUUCCCUAAAUUGCCAUGACUAGCUGGCUCAAGUUAGGCCUUUCUAAUUUACCUGGACCGUUGCUGUCUCCUGUGCACGGCUGCGGGGAUGAGCACCUUGUUGUGCGUUCCUCCGCUGGGCUGACGGAAAUGGUUUGCAGCCAGACUGCUACGCCACGCGGUCUGGCAUUUAGUCCUCAGAAAUCUGAUUUAGAGAACGUAUACAUUGCAUCACAAUCUAGAUUUCAGAGGAAAGUUUUGGAUAGAAUAACCCAGACCCAAGUCUGGGUAAUUUAAAGCCUGGGUGAAAUGGGGCAGAAAGAGCCCAGAAUAUACAGGUCUGAAUCUUGGCUGGGGUGAUGUGGAAGACUGGAGGCGCCAGACGGCUGGCCUCCCUCCAAGUGUUUACCAUGCUGGUGCCAUGGGGCUGGGGCUGGGCAGUCCAUGUGCUCAUUCUUCCCUUCUCUUCUCCUCCUCCUCCCCCUCCAUCUCUCCUCCUCCUCCUCAUGUUUUCUAUAGGCUAGAGAAACUCAGGAACUACUGACCCACAGGGAAGGCAAGCGGAGAUAUGAGACGGAGGAAUCAAACGCUGCCCUGGUGGAGGACGCUGUGGGUUUACAGUGGAUGAUUUCCUCUGCCUAUGAGAUAAAAGGGCUGGCUCUGUACUUUGAACCCCAGCCUCACCCACCUCUGCCUGGGUGUGGCUCUUACUCUCUGGAAGACUUACUCAGGGGAGAGGACAGGACAGUGUGAGGCUUGAAUCUCCAGGAAAUAGAGUCUGUGGGCAGCCAUUGACUCCGAGUCAAUGAGAACAAGGUGUGCUGUUUCCUCUGUGCUGUUUCUUCCCUGCCCCACUCCCCGCCCCUUUGUCCUAUGGUGCCCAGGCUGCCUGCACUGCCCAGAUACCACAGGCCUUGCCAGGGACCUCCUGAGAGGUUUCUGAGGCUUGCAGCCAGUGGUCCCGUUAGUCUGCACGUCUCCGAGUUGCCCUCCCAGAGGAGAAAGCAUAUGCUGCUGGGACCGACUGCAGCUCCUCAUGGAUGCACCUGCCACCAGAAAAUUGUUGUUCAGUCUGGGAUUGCUUUCUCUUCCCAAAGCACAAUCUCACAUGCAGUCAUGAGCCCAGUCCAGCCUCUGGGACAGAAGAUUUCGUGCUUUUAUAAACCAACAGCACUGCAGGUGCUGCACAAGAGAACCAAAACAAUUUAAAGAGAUGACGGAGGAACUGCUUUUAACAGUCUUUGAACAAGUUGCCGAAGAAUCAAUAUCCACAGAUCAGAAGGAAAAUUGUUACCUCACAUUUCAAAGGUAGAUUCUGGAAAUUACAGGCUGAUAAUCUUCACAUUAGCUACCAGCAAAUUUCUGGAACAGAUUAUCAAACAGUUUGUUAAAAUAUGUGAAAAGGGGAGACAUGAUUAUUAUGUUCUAAUAUGCAUUCACCAAAAAUAAAUGAUCACAAAUUAA